This 821-nucleotide long non-coding RNA is filed under the name Salvator merianae (Argentine black and white tegu). Its description in RNAcentral is "lncRNA (ENSSMRG00000014523.1)". Lineage: Eukaryota; Metazoa; Chordata; Lepidosauria; Squamata; Teiidae. The record is from RNAcentral.
AAAAGUUGAAGAUUCGUUCCUUGGAUGCCCUGAAAUGUGAAGGCUUACAGUUUUCAUNGUGAUGGCCUGUUGGAAGUCUCCCUCCUAGCUGAAAGCAGCCAUAUCUCCUCCGGUGAGCACAGAGAAAAGACUGGGCAGGUGAUUCAUCACCAUUUGCUUUUGAACUCCUUGGGCGGCAGCAAACCAUCCUCUGGUCCAAUGCCUCAGGCACAAUGUCCAUAUUCUGCCUCAGAUCCAAGUCCAGCUCGCCACACCGUAUGAGCAUCAAAGGCGCAUGGCAGUCUGAGGUUUGGUUCUUCCACAGCUUUCUCAAUUUUCUGAUCUAAAGCAUGUGGAGACGUGGUCUCAAGUUGUACAAUUUUAUUGAUCUUAUUAAUUGUGCCUGCACUCAAUCUGGGCACACAUCUGCAAACACACUUCAAAAUGGAGCAGAUUUCCUUCAGCUUUAUGCUACUGAAAAAAAAUCAACAGACCGAGCUGUGCCGUGAUCUUUAGCUGUGCCAUCAGGUGUACUUGUGACCAACUGGAAUAAGGGAAGAUGGAUUGCAUGGGUGCAAGAUUCCCGAGAAGGGAAAAACAGGAACUCAGUAAGAUAUUUGGAGAGGACUGUUUCACCUGGCAUAGUAAGUUCUCUUAGAGGCAGAGAACUUCCACAGGNAGGGCAAGAUUAACCCACAGCACCCUCUGCAGUCAGACGUGACACCUAAACGAAAGCAUUUCCUCCUUUCGUUCUGAAUGUGUUUGACUAAAGGCACCAAGGAGUGGGAAAGCAUUGGCGUGAAGCAACAAAAUAGCCACACACCCACAUUGCUGUCAAGAAG